CUCGCAUAGCAUUGUGCUGCAGGAUUGCUCAGCGCGCUGGACCAGGGAUGUCCAAUCCUUUUGAUUGUAAAAAACGAAAGCAAAUCUGGAGAGGUUCAACCACUGUGAAAAACUAGAGCCGUGUUGGAGCGCUGUCACAGAGACAUAACUCAGAACGCAUCAACAGUUGUUGUCAACUCUUCACUUUGUAACCUGAAAUCAUCUGCGAUGCUGGGAUGCAAAUCUUUAGGUUCGGAAAGUGGCUGAAAGCUGAGCUGUAAAAAUAAAGCCUGAGAAACAUUUCUAAUUCCGACACAGUCUCCAUGUCUUUUCUACAUACGCACAUGUAUGCACAUGCAUUCCCAAGCUGGCAUAUAAGCCCACGAGCUCACACGUACCUUCGCGGGCACCCUCAGGCAGAACGUGUUCUGCAGCAUGGAUGGCACACGGGGUAUUUCUGAAGGCAGAACCAGAAGACUGCAAAUCCACACUUCCACCCACUAAUGAAAAAAAAAAAAGCCAAGAAAACCUCAGUAGAGAUUGAGUUUUAUAAUUAAUGCUGAACAAUUUUCAUUGACAAAGCAAAACGAAGCAAGUGGAAGGCUGAUUUAAAUGCUGAAUGAUUAACGCGUGGCGAGGCGGCUGAGGAAAGAGACAAAUUCGGGAGCAGCUAUGGAAAUUUAUGUAUGAGAGAGUCAGCACCAUAUUCUGAUCUCAGUUACACAGUUGUAAAUCUGUUAUCUUAAUGGAAGUAUUCGGCUCUUAUAUUUGCAUACCAAUGCAGACCCACCGCCUCACAGAAAUCUCCUCGCUGUCAUGAAGGCUUACAUACAAAUUCUGCACAAACGAACAGAAAGCGGAACCUGGGAAUGAUGGAAAGGCAAAUUGAAUUCAGAUUUGAAUUUUGUAUUUGAUGCCUGUAUACAAUGGGGAUGAGUGCACUGAGAAGCAAUGCACAGAUAGGCAGACGGAUCUCCUGCCCGUGCUCCUAUUUUAAAGACCCAUUCAUUUUGCACCUGAAGGAUGAAUUCUUCCUCCCACUCUCCUCCUUCCUCUCAUCUUCUAUGAUUUGCGUGAUCUUUGCUGCAUACCUUACAAACCACUGUUGACCUUCGCCCAGGGCUUCAAGGCAAUUUCCCAAAUAAAUUUCACCGGAUCGAUAAACUCCCAUUCUGUUUUCUUUCCUAAACUGAGGGAAAGGGGGAAAAAAAUGAGAAAAAGUAAAUGUUUUCUUUUUAGCCAAAUGGAACAGAAAUCCGAGUUUAACAGAGGUACCCAUCUCAGAAUUCUGAGGGUGCACACGGAAGCCCUGUAAUUCAGCUGGUUUGUAUUAUCAUUUUGCUUUCCCUUUCUGAAAAAGUACGCAUUUGGAGCCCUGAAAAAUGGCAUGCACUGUUUUGAACCCCUUGAAAGGUGCCCAUACAAGGCAUCACACAGCUGUCCUUCGUGACUGUUAAAUAUUUAUCAGCAAGGCAAAUUCCU
RNAcentral lists this long non-coding RNA (1461 nucleotides) under Gallus gallus (chicken). RNAcentral's name for it is "lncRNA (ENSGALG00010007253.1)". The record is from RNAcentral. Lineage: Eukaryota; Metazoa; Chordata; Aves; Galliformes; Phasianidae.